RNAcentral lists this ribosomal RNA (447 nucleotides) under uncultured bacterium. RNAcentral's name for it is "bacterial SSU rRNA". It matches the Rfam family "Bacterial small subunit ribosomal RNA", at positions 330 to 793 of the family's 1533-position model. The record is from RNAcentral.
GCCAGACUCCUACGGGAGGCAGCAGUGGGGAAUAUUGCACAAUGGGGGAAACCCUGAUGCAGCAACGCCGCGUGAAGGAAGACGGUUUUCGGAUUGUAAACUUCUGUUCUUAGUGAAGAAGAAUGACGGUAGCUAAGGAGCAAGCCACGGCUAACUACGUGCCAGCAGCCGCGGUAAUACGGAAGGUCCGGGCGUUAUCCGGAUUUAUUGGGUUUAAAGGGAGCGUAGGCCGCAUGUUAAGCGUGCCGUGAAAUGCCGUGGCUCAACCAUGGCACUGCGGCGCGAACUGGCUUGCUUGAGUGCGCGGAACGUAUGCGGAAUUCGUGGUGUAGCGGUGAAAUGCUUAGAUAUCACGAAGAACUCCGAUUGCGAAGGCAGCAUACGGCAGCGCUACUGACGCUGAAGCUCGAAGGCGCGGGUAUCGAACAGGAUUAGAUACCCUCGUAU